Molecule: long non-coding RNA, 984 nt
Filed under: Felis catus (domestic cat)
Lineage: Eukaryota; Metazoa; Chordata; Mammalia; Carnivora; Felidae
Description: lncRNA (ENSFCAG00000049505.1)
Source: RNAcentral
CUCUCCCCGCGGGAGCCCCACUUUUCCCCUCCCCCCAUUCCCGGUGCUUGGCUUCGAGGCGUAGGUAGCAGCGCCUCUCUGACUCCCCCGUUGUCCUGUGCUGCACCAUCUACAGAUGGUCUGCGCCUGGCAGGUCACAACAGGUCCGAAUCCACAGCACGCGGCUUACUUAGACUUGGGUGUUUUAGUGGCUCCGGGCACAACCGUUGCUCUGGCUAAUUAGCCCAGAUCGUUAUUCCCCCCACCCCCUCCCCCCCACCCCCCUCAUCUAGGAGAAACAUAAGGAAGGCUGAUAAAUGUCCCCAUCUAUAUGGUUUCCUCCCCCAAUCCUUUUGGGUCGUGAGCUUUAUCCUUACAGACCACCGAGUCUUCGACCACCCCUCCACCCCCGCCGACGCUCUCAGUGCUGGGUCGCUGCUUCUCUUUCAAGUUCUUCCGCCAACAGAGGCUCCGUGUACCCAUGCGAUGCCAACAAUGGCCACUAGAGGACACCAUAGUCACGCGGUCUCUGUGAGACCCCUGCAAAUGGGCUGCAUUGGCUAUGUGUCUGCUUGGAUUAGGAUUUGGACAAUUGAUAGCCUGUACUGGUGCCACAGCUCUACCCACAUAGCCCUGUACCCCUCCCAACCUGGGUCCAGCUCCUUUCUCCUCAUGUGCCUUGUGAUGAAUGCCACUGCCUUGCAAGAUCAGUGAGCAAAUGGAUGUGGAUGCAAUGCGGCUGCCUGAGAUUAGCAGGAAGCAAUUCUUUUCCCAUUUGGAGAGACCCCAGUGAGACCUGAUCACCAACCAGCAACAUAUGGAAGUCACACCAUUAAAUCUUCCAAUUUGCUAGCAGCAAAUCAAUGGAAUCUGAUAGCUGCUGCCCUAAGCUAGCAUCCUGGGAACUGUGGACAAGCUAUUUGAUACCUGAACUUCAGUGAAGGAAAGUUAAAGCUUUUUCUUAAAGCAGGGGGGGAAAGAGAUUAUAUUAAGCAAUGAGAGAAG